GGUUAAGCGACUAAGCGUACACGGUGGAUGCCCUGGCAGUCAGAGGCGAUGAAGGACGUGCUAAUCUGCGAUAAGCGUCGGUGAGGUGAUAUGAACCGUUAUAACCGGCGAUUUCCGAAUGGGGAAACCCAGUGUGUUUCGACACACUAUCAUUAACUGAAUCCAUAGGUUAAUGAGGCGAACCGGGGGAACUGAAACAUCUAAGUACCCCGAGGAAAAGAAAUCAACCGAGAUUCCCCCAGUAGCGGCGAGCGAACGGGGAGGAGCCCAGAGCCUGAAUCAGUGUGUGUGUUAGUGGAAGCGUCUGGAAAGGCGCGCGAUACAGGGUGACAGCCCCGUACACAAAAAUGCACAUAUUGUGAGCUCGAUGAGUAGGGCGGGACACGUGGUAUCCUGUCUGAAUAUGGGGGGACCAUCCUCCAAGGCUAAAUACUCCUGACUGACCGAUAGUGAACCAGUACCGUGAGGGAAAGGCGAAAAGAACCCCGGCGAGGGGAGUGAAAAAGAACCUGAAACCGUGUACGUACAAGCAGUGGGAGCCUCUUAAUGGGGUGACUGCGUACCUUUUGUAUAAUGGGUCAGCGACUUAUAUUCUGUAGCAAGGUUAACCGAAUAGGGGAGCCGAAGGGAAACCGAGUCUUAACUGGGCGUUAAGUUGCAGGGUAUAGACCCGAAACCCGGUGAUCUAGCCAUGGGCAGGUUGAAGGUUGGGUAACACUAACUGGAGGACCGAACCGACUAAUGUUGAAAAAUUAGCGGAUGACUUGUGGCUGGGGGUGAAAGGCCAAUCAAACCGGGAGAUAGCUGGUUCUCCCCGAAAGCUAUUUAGGUAGCGCCUCGUGAAUUCAUCUCCGGGGGUAGAGCACUGUUUCGGCAAGGGGGUCAUCCCGACUUACCAACCCGAUGCAAACUGCGAAUACCGGAGAAUGUUAUCACGGGAGACACACGGCGGGUGCUAACGUCCGUCGUGAAGAGGGAAACAACCCAGACCGCCAGCUAAGGUCCCAAAGUCAUGGUUAAGUGGGAAACGAUGUGGGAAGGCCCAGACAGCCAGGAUGUUGGCUUAGAAGCAGCCAUCAUUUAAAGAAAGCGUAAUAGCUCACUGGUCGAGUCGGCCUGCGCGGAAGAUGUAACGGGGCUAAACCAUGCACCGAAGCUGCGGCAGCGACACUAUGUGUUGUUGGGUAGGGGAGCGUUCUGUAAGCCUGUGAAGGUGGCCUGUGAGGGUUGCUGGAGGUAUCAGAAGUGCGAAUGCUGACAUAAGUAACGAUAAAGCGGGUGAAAAGCCCGCUCGCCGGAAGACCAAGGGUUCCUGUCCAACGUUAAUCGGGGCAGGGUGAGUCGACCCCUAAGGCGAGGCCGAAAGGCGUAGUCGAUGGGAAACAGGUUAAUAUUCCUGUACUUGGUGUUACUGCGAAGGGGGGACGGAGAAGGCUAUGUUGGCCGGGCGACGGUUGUCCCGGUUUAAGCGUGUAGGCUGGUUUUCCAGGCAAAUCCGGAAAACCAAGGCUGAGGCGUGAUGACGAGGCACUACGGUGCUGAAGCGACAAAUGCCCUGCUUCCAGGAAAAGCCUCUAAGCAUCAGGUAACAUCAAAUCGUACCCCAAACCGACACAGGUGGUCAGGUAGAGAAUACCAAGGCGCUUGAGAGAACUCGGGUGAAGGAACUAGGCAAAAUGGUGCCGUAACUUCGGGAGAAGGCACGCUGAUAUGUAGGUGAAGCGACUUGCUCGUGGAGCUGAAAUCAGUCGAAGAUACCAGCUGGCUGCAACUGUUUAUUAAAAACACAGCACUGUGCAAACACGAAAGUGGACGUAUACGGUGUGACGCCUGCCCGGUGCCGGAAGGUUAAUUGAUGGGGUUAGCGGUAACGCGAAGCUCUUGAUCGAAGCCCCGGUAAACGGCGGCCGUAACUAUAACGGUCCUAAGGUAGCGAAAUUCCUUGUCGGGUAAGUUCCGACCUGCACGAAUGGCGUAAUGAUGGCCAGGCUGUCUCCACCCGAGACUCAGUGAAAUUGAACUCGCUGUGAAGAUGCAGUGUACCCGCGGCAAGACGGAAAGACCCCGUGAACCUUUACUAUAGCUUGACACUGAACAUUGAGCCUUGAUGUGUAGGAUAGGUGGGAGGCUUUGAAGUGUGGACGCCAGUCUGCAUGGAGCCGACCUUGAAAUACCACCCUUUAAUGU
This 2187-nucleotide ribosomal RNA is filed under the name Escherichia coli. RNAcentral describes it as "partial 23S ribosomal RNA". It matches the Rfam family "Bacterial large subunit ribosomal RNA", at positions 1 to 2213 of the family's 2925-position model. Lineage: Bacteria; Pseudomonadati; Pseudomonadota; Gammaproteobacteria; Enterobacterales; Enterobacteriaceae. The record is from RNAcentral.